RNAcentral lists this ribosomal RNA (461 nucleotides) under uncultured bacterium. RNAcentral's name for it is "partial 16S ribosomal RNA". It matches the Rfam family "Bacterial small subunit ribosomal RNA", at positions 338 to 795 of the family's 1533-position model. The record is from RNAcentral.
CCUACGGGGGGCAGCAGUGAGGAAUAUUGGUCAAUGGGCGCGAGCCUGAACCAGCCAAGUAGCGUGAAGGAUGACUGCCCUACGGGUUGUAAACUUCUUUUAUAAAGGAAUAAAGUGAGGCACGUGUGCCUUUUUGUAUGUACUUUAUGAAUAAGGAUCGGCUAACACCGUGCCAGCAGCCGCGGUAAUACGGAGGAUCCGAGCGUUAUCCGGAUUUAUUGGGUUUAAAGGGAGCGUAGAGGGGUUGUUAAGUCAGUGGGGAAAGUUUGCGGCUCAACCGUAAGAUUGCAAUUGAUACUGGCAGUCUUGAGGACAGUUGAGGUAGGGGGAAUUCGUGGUGUAGCGGUUAAAUGCUUAGAUAUCACGAAGGACUCCGAUUGGGAAGGCAGCUUACUAAACUGCCACUGACAUUGAUGCUCGAAAGUGUGGGUAUCAAACAGGAUUAGAUACCCCGGGUAGUC